UCCGCCUUAUCGACGGCAGUCUCCUUAGAGUGCCCAACUUGACUUGAUGGCAACUAAGGACAAGGGUUGCGCUCGUUGCGGGACUUAACCCAACAUCUCACGACACGAGCUGACGACAGCCAUGCAGCACCUGUGCGCCGGCCCCGAAGGGAGGGUGUGUUUCGACACCUGUCCGGCACAUGUCAAACCUGGGUAAGGUUCUUCGCGUCGCAUCGAAUUAAACCACAUGCUCCACCGCUUGUGCGGGCCCCCGUCAAUUCCUUUGAGUUUCAACCUUGCGGUCGUACUCCCCAGGCGGGGCACUUAAUGCGUUAGCUGCGGCACAGGAGGGGUCGAUGCCUCCUACACCUAGUGCCCACCGUUUACGGCUAGGACUAC
This 378-nucleotide unclassified non-coding RNA is filed under the name uncultured Latescibacterota bacterium. Its description in RNAcentral is "uncultured Latescibacteria bacterium contains 16S-23S intergenic spacer region". Lineage: Bacteria; Pseudomonadati; Candidatus Latescibacterota. The record is from RNAcentral.